Molecule: ribosomal RNA, 253 nt
Filed under: uncultured bacterium
Lineage: Bacteria
Description: partial 16S ribosomal RNA
Rfam family: Bacterial small subunit ribosomal RNA
Source: RNAcentral
CUUUCUUUGCUGGCGACCGGCGCACGGGUGAGUAACACGUAUCCAACCUGCCCUUUACUCGGGGAUAGCCUUUCGAAAGAAAGAUUAAUACCCGAUAGCAUAAUGAUUCCGCAUGGUUUCAUUAUUAAAGGAUCCGGUAAAGGAUGGGGAUGCGUUCCGUUAGGUUGUUGGUGAGGUAACGGCUCACCAAGCCUUCGAUGGAUAGGGGUUCUGAGAGGAAGGUCCCCCACAUUGGAACUGAGACACGGUCCAA